UAAAGUCUGGCCUGCCCACUGAUUUAUUUUAAAGGGCCGCGGUAUACUGACCGUGCGAAGGUAGCAUAAUCAUUAGUCUUUUAAUUGAAGGCUUGUAUGAAUGGUUGGACAAAAAGCAAGCUGUCUCAGUUGUAAUAAUUGAAUUUAACUUUUGAGUGAAAAGGCUUAAAUAAGUUAGGGGGACGAUAAGACCCUAUAAAGCUUGACAAUAAGCCGUUUAUAUUAUAAAUUGUUAGUAUAACUUGAUUUUAAAUGGUGUUUGUUGCGUUGGGGCGACGAGAAUAUAAAAGAUAACUGUUCUUAUAACAUUUAAUAACAGAAAUAGUUGGAAAAUUAAUUAUCCUUUCUUUAAGAUCAUAAGAUUAAGUUACUUUAGGGAUAACAGCGUAAUCUUCUUUGAGAGUCCAUAUCGACAGGAAGGGUUGCGACCUCGAUGUUGAAUUAAGGUAUCCUUAUAAUGCAGCAGUUAUAAAGGAAGGUCUGUUCGACCUUUAAAUCCUU
RNAcentral lists this ribosomal RNA (501 nucleotides) under Penaeus duorarum (pink shrimp). RNAcentral describes it as "partial 16S ribosomal RNA". It matches the Rfam family "Bacterial large subunit ribosomal RNA", at positions 1846 to 2597 of the family's 2925-position model. The record is from RNAcentral. Lineage: Eukaryota; Metazoa; Arthropoda; Malacostraca; Decapoda; Penaeidae.